UAAAUACUCCCUCCGUCCGGAAAUACUUGUCAUCAAAAUGGAUAAAAGGGGAUGUAUCUAGAUGUAUUUUAGUUCUAGAUACAUCUUUUUUUAUCCGUUUUGAUGACAAGUAUUUUCGAACAGAGGGAGUACUGA
Molecule: non-coding RNA, 135 nt
Organism: Triticum aestivum (bread wheat)
Lineage: Eukaryota; Viridiplantae; Streptophyta; Magnoliopsida; Poales; Poaceae
Source: Rfam